Molecule: long non-coding RNA, 1224 nt
Organism: Phyllopteryx taeniolatus (common seadragon)
Lineage: Eukaryota; Metazoa; Chordata; Actinopteri; Syngnathiformes; Syngnathidae
Exons: 4
Source: RefSeq, a predicted model, not a curated record
UGUGGUUAGUAGAAAAGAGACUCACAAACUCAUCAGGGACUCGGCUCAUCUUGAAUCUACAGUGAAACAUUGACCAGAGAUUCUCAACCCGAAAAAGAAUUUUGAAAUCAUCAGAAUUUCGUUGUGCGUCUCUCAAUUACAAGUUGUAUAUCUGAAAAGGCACUGAUUAAAAACAGUUUACAAGGGAAAAAAGCCUCUCUGCUCCUGCAAAGUCUUUUUUGUUUCAGUUUGAUACUACACAGGAGGAAGGUCACAAUCACUCAAAUCACUGAAGCACUGCUUAUCGCACACUGUAAAUACUUGAGUGUUUGCUCAAUAGUACAAGAAGGCUCGUGAAAAAAAUGACGAGGGAUCAGAGAGAUGGUCAUGCACCAAGGAAGAGAAAGAAUAGGAAAAAAAGUUGAAAAGUUGUUGACAGACACUUAUGUAUUCCCUGCGACAAAAGCAAAACCUUACUUUCAGGAUGAGAGGCGCAAACAACUUUUGUGUGUGGAAAAGUUUACUGGACUCUAUCGCUCAUAAUAAAGGUGAUGCCGAAGAUAAGAACUGAAUCACUGCAAGCUCCAUUGGACAUUUUCACCGUCUGCAUAGUUCAUGGGCAAAAUAAUUUGCUUCCAUUCGGAUUUCAGGAAGAAUAACAACUGGCAAAAACGGAGCUUGCACCUGAGCUGUAGAGCUUCUUGACAGCAACAGGCAACAGCAAGAUGAGCGGAUGAUGACACUUGAUUUCCUGCCAUGAAGUCAAGUAGGCACACGCACAAUGAAAUGAACAGAUGAAUGUGGGACCUUCAGGCAUCUGGAAAUUGCACCCGAGGAUGAACCAGACUUAUAGAGCGUUCCAGGCAGCGGCUGUGAUCAUCACGUCGUGAUAGCGUCUAAUAAAGCUGCACAUGCCCGCACGAGGAUUCAUCUUUCACCUGUCACACUUGUGGGUGACAGCAUUCAUUUUGUCUGUGAUGAGGCGGUUACAGGGCCACAAUAUGACUGAACUAUGACUGUGGCGGGGCGCUCAAUCGCCUGGCGAGGACUAGAGGAAAUACUGUGUAAACAUCAGUGCUGCUUUUAACUGUGUUAUUGUGGGCUCCCCGAACAAGAACAAAAUACUAAACGUUAAUCACUGCAAUUCCAAAUGAAUAUAUACACAUUAUGGCCAGUCUGUGUUAGGGGCAGGGGCAACAGUCUUCCAACAGAUGUUACUAUUUUUUAUUCUUACUAAUAUUAAUA